RNAcentral lists this ribosomal RNA (253 nucleotides) under uncultured bacterium. Its description in RNAcentral is "partial 16S ribosomal RNA". It matches the Rfam family "Bacterial small subunit ribosomal RNA", at positions 524 to 776 of the family's 1533-position model. The record is from RNAcentral.
UACAGAGGGUGCAAGCGUUAAUCGGAAUUACUGGGCGUAAAGCGUGCGUAGACGGUUACAUAAGUCGGGUGUGAAAGCCCCGGGCUCAACCUGGGAAUUGCAUUCGAGACUGCGUAGCUAGGGUGCGGAAGAGGGAAGCGGAAUUUCCGGUGUAGCGGUGAAAUGCGUAGAGAUCGGGAGGAACACCAGAGGCGAAAGCGGCAUCCUGGGCCGGGCCUGACGCUGAGGCGUGAAAGCGUGGGGAGCGAACCGG